This 484-nucleotide ribosomal RNA is filed under the name uncultured bacterium. RNAcentral's name for it is "partial 16S ribosomal RNA". It matches the Rfam family "Bacterial small subunit ribosomal RNA", at positions 30 to 508 of the family's 1533-position model. The record is from RNAcentral.
AUUGAACGCUGGCGGCAGGCCUAACACAUGCAAGUCGAGCGGAUGAAGGGAGCUUGCUCCUGGAUUCAGCGGCGGACGGGUGAGUAAUGCCUAGGAAUCUGCCUGGUAGUGGGGGAUAACGUCCGGAAACGGGCGCUAAUACCGCAUACGUCCUGAGGGAGAAAGUGGGGGAUCUUCGGACCUCACGCUAUCAGAUGAGCCUAGGUCGGAUUAGCUAGUUGGUGGGGUAAAGGCCUACCAAGGCGACGAUCCGUAACUGGUCUGAGAGGAUGAUCAGUCACAUUGGAACUGAGACACGCCCCAGACUCCACCGGGAGGCAGCGUUGGGGAUUUUGGGACAAUGGGCGAAGGCUUGUCCCACCCUUGCCGCGUGUGGGAAGAGGGUUUUGGUAUUUUAAAGCUCUUUAGGUGGGGAGGACGGCCAGUAAGUUAUUCCUUUCUUUUUUUGCCUUCCCCAAAAAAAUCGGCACCGCCUACCUCCGGC